Molecule: ribosomal RNA, 414 nt
Filed under: uncultured Funneliformis
Lineage: Eukaryota; Fungi; Glomeromycota; Glomeromycetes; Glomerales; Glomeraceae
Description: partial 28S ribosomal RNA
Source: RNAcentral
GAGAGUUAAACAGUACGUGAAAUUGUUGAAAGGGAAACGAUUGAAGUCAGUCAUACCAACGGGAAAUCAACCUUUUGAGUUUGGUCUCGUGGGUUUUGAAGAGUUUAAAAGCCUUCGGAUUUUCGAGAUUGGGUUCUUCUGGUGUACUUUCUCGUACGGUUAGUCAACAUCGGUUUUGAAUGUCAUAAAAUGACUGGAGGAAUGUGGCUUCGAUCUCGUAUUGAAGUGUUAUAGCCUUUGGUAGAUGUGAUGUUUGAGACCGAGGAUUGCAACGGAUACCCUUCUGGGCUAUUCGUCUGAUCUCUGAAACGUUGCCUUGAUGUCGAAAGCUUGCUUAUGAUGUUAGGGUAUUACGGUCAAAAGGUUAGAACGGAUUAAAUUCGUUAAGGAUGUUGACGUAAUGACUUUAAACGA